AUGCGGAGGAGGUGGCCCGGGUCAGCGUCGGCAUCGUCUGGCGCGGGCCACGGGCCCGCUUCCAAGUGCGUCUGCGCACCGGCCACCCACGUUGGGUCCUUCAAGUGCCGCUUCCACCGCACCAACUCCCAGGGCCACGGGAGGUACCAAAAAAAACCAUGA
Molecule: ribosomal RNA, 162 nt
Filed under: Triticum aestivum (bread wheat)
Lineage: Eukaryota; Viridiplantae; Streptophyta; Magnoliopsida; Poales; Poaceae
Description: partial small subunit ribosomal RNA
Source: RNAcentral